AGCUUUGCACGGUGGCAGUAUUGUAGCCAAUGAGGUUUAUCCGAGGCGCGAUUAUUGCUAAUUGAAAAGUUUUUGCACAAAUAUGUCC
RNAcentral lists this small nuclear RNA (88 nucleotides) under Canis lupus dingo (dingo). RNAcentral describes it as "U4 spliceosomal RNA (ENSCAFG00020002204.1)". It matches the Rfam family "U4 spliceosomal RNA", at positions 1 to 87 of the family's 138-position model. From Rfam's summary of the family: U4 small nuclear RNA (U4 snRNA) is a component of the major U2-dependent spliceosome. Lineage: Eukaryota; Metazoa; Chordata; Mammalia; Carnivora; Canidae. The record is from RNAcentral.